GACGAACGCUGGCGGCGUGCUUAACACAUGCAAGUCGAACGGAAAGGCCCUGCUUGCAGGGUACUCGAGUGGCGAACGGGUGAGUAACACGUGGGUGAUCUGCCCUGCACUUCGGGAUAAGCCUGGGAAACUGGGUCUAAUACCGGAUAGGAGCCAUUUUUAGUGUGAUGGUUGGAAAGUUUUUUCGGUGUAGGAUGAGCUCGCGGCCUAUCAGCUUGUUGGUGGGGUAAUGGCCUACCAAGGCGGCGACGGGUAGCCGGCCUGAGAGGGUGGACGGCCACAUUGGGACUGAGAUACGGCCCAGACACCGACGGGAGGCAGCAGUGGGGAAGAUUGCACAAGGGGCGCAAGCCUGAUGCAGCGACGCCGCGUGGGGGAUGACGGCCUUCGGGUUGUAAACUCCUUUCGCUAGGGACGAAGCUUUUUGUGACGGUACCUAGAGAAGAAGCACCGGCUAACUACGUG
Molecule: ribosomal RNA, 465 nt
Filed under: uncultured bacterium
Lineage: Bacteria
Description: partial 16S ribosomal RNA
Rfam family: Bacterial small subunit ribosomal RNA
Source: RNAcentral